UCGCCCCGCCCUCUCUGUUGGGGUGGUUGGGCGUUUUGCUGUAAUGGGCCUCUUGUUCGGUUCUUUUCACCCGCUGUUCUUAAAUCCAGGGCCAUCGCGCUGUUUGUGAGGCUCACCCCGGAGAUGAGAAGCGGAGAGGCAAGGCCAACGUUACGGAGAAUCCAGGGGCGAUGGGUCUCCGGCUGAAAAGAAAUGGAGGAUAUGAUGGGAAGAGGGAGAGGAAUAAACGCGUGUGCCCUAGCAAUAUUGAAGACAAAUUGGGUUCAAAAUAAGUUAGAGAGGCAUGCCAUUUUUUAUUUUUAUUUUUUGAGUUCUAUUUGGUUACUUCCCUUAGGGGGAGAGAAUGUAGGAGCUGUUGGUAGGUUUGGGCGUAGGUGUGUGACCCCGGAGGGUCUUGAAUGAUUUGUGAGAAUGCGUCGACUUUUAAUUCAACGAAACUUUCCUGCAACACCCUUUGAAACAAUGCGGAAUUAAGGAAAUUAGCUCGAAAGAAUGAUUGCUUCCCCCCCCACCACCCACUUGUAUACUUUGUCCAGAUUCCAGACAAAAAGACUCAGCUCAAGGAAGUCCAUUCUUGGAGAUGUUGGAAAGAUUCCUGGGUCUCGGAAGAUGACUUGAAAUAUGCAGGGGAAGUAGUGUAUCUUUGUGUCUUAACUAUAGAAUAAAAUUGAAGGGUGUUUUUCUUAGAAAACAUUUGUCUGAUUUAUCUGAUCAUUGAAGAUUUAUAUAAUAAGUGAUAAACCUAUGUGACAUUUUAUAAAAAUGGAUAAUCAAAAGAGGGAAUUGGUCAACAAAGGUGACAGCAGUAAAGAAACAAAAAGUGAUAACACUGGAGGUGAAAUUGAAUGUGAUUAGAUUUGAAAAUGGUGAUAGCAGACAAGAUGAGAUCUAAGCCUACAUGAAGCUACAGUUCAUAUUUUAAAAGCUGAUGAAUAUAAAAAACAAAGUAAAGUUGCAUCAACAUUUUAACUUUAAGUUUUACUGGGAACAGAAAGCCACUUAUGGUUGAAAUGGAGCAUUUACUUCUACUUUAGAUUGAGGACUGUAAUCAACAAAUCCCACUCAUUUUCACUAGCAUUCAGUCCAAAAUGUCAAAGUGCUACAUUGCAAGAAAUGAUAAUUAUAAGAAGAACAUUUUACUGCCAGUAAAGACUGGUUUCAUCGCUUCAGAAGUCUGCAUGAAUUCAUUAACCUUAAAUUGUCUGGUGAAACUGCAAGCUCAGGGAAGGAUGCUACUGUGAAAUUUGUACCCAAAUUCUAAGAAUUACAGGUAGUCCUGGCUUUGCACACUAGUGCAACACUACUGUGUAAAAAAACUGCAGGAUUUGGAUGGAAUGUAAAUGGAAUUAUAGAAGAUAUAGAUGACCAUGGGAAGUUGGCACUGCCUCCAUUCAAGUAGUAGUAGUUCUGGAUAUGUAGUCAGAGGAAUUCAGUGAAGUCAAACAUGGUUGUGAGGAAAGUGGUUGGGUCAUAAAGGAUGAAUGUGUAUCAGAGGAAGUGAUGCAGAUGAAAAACUUCCCAUUAAAGGAACUCUCAGAUUUUUCUGCCAUUGAAAGCACAAAGGAUAAGAUUUCAGAAGCUAAUCCAAAUUUAGAAAAGAGUAUGAUAAUUUGCCAAGGUAU
Myotis davidii is the source of this 1622-nucleotide long non-coding RNA. RefSeq lists it as uncharacterized. The record is from RefSeq and is a predicted model, not a curated record. Lineage: Eukaryota; Metazoa; Chordata; Mammalia; Chiroptera; Vespertilionidae. The transcript is spliced from 5 exons.